This 238-nucleotide ribosomal RNA is filed under the name uncultured bacterium. RNAcentral describes it as "partial 16S ribosomal RNA". It matches the Rfam family "Bacterial small subunit ribosomal RNA", at positions 96 to 334 of the family's 1533-position model. The record is from RNAcentral.
CGGCGGACGGGUGAGUAACGCGUGGGUGACCUGCCCCAUACCGGGGGAUAACAGCUGGAAACGGCUGCUAAUACCGCAUAAGCGCACAGAGCUGCAUGGCUCGGUGUGAAAAACUCCGGUGGUAUGGGAUGGGCCCGCGUCUGAUUAGCUGGUUGGUAAGGUAACGGCUUACCAAGGCGACGAUCAGUAGCCGACCUGAGAGGGUGAACGGCCACAUUGGGACUGAGACACGGCCCAA